AGUGAACGCUGGCGGUAGGCCUAACACAUGCAAGUCGAACGGAAGCACAGUAAGAGCUUGCUCUUACGGGUGGCGAGUGGCGGACGGGUGAGGAAUACAUCGGCAUCUACUUUUUCGUGGGGGAUAGCGUAGGGACACUUACGAUAAUACCGCAUAUGACCUACGGGUGAAAGCAGGGGAUCUUCGGACCUUGCGCGAUUGAAUGAGCCGAUGUCGGAUUAGCUAGUUGGCUGGGUAAAGGCCCACCAAGGCGACGAUCCGUAGCUGGUCUGAGAGGAUGAUCAGCCACACUGGAACUGAGACACGGUCCAGACUCCUACGGGAGGCAGCAGUGGGGAAUAUUGGACAAUGGGCGCAAGCCUGACCCAGCCAUACCGCGUGGGUGAAGAAGGCCUUCGGGUUGUAAAGCCCUUUUGUUGGGAAAGAAAAGCAGCAGGUUAAUACCCCGCUGUUCUGACGGUACCCAAAGAAUAAGCACCGGCUAACUUCGUG
RNAcentral lists this ribosomal RNA (492 nucleotides) under uncultured bacterium. RNAcentral's name for it is "partial 16S ribosomal RNA". It matches the Rfam family "Bacterial small subunit ribosomal RNA", at positions 29 to 507 of the family's 1533-position model. The record is from RNAcentral.